Molecule: ribosomal RNA, 734 nt
Filed under: Kocuria sp.
Lineage: Bacteria; Bacillati; Actinomycetota; Actinomycetes; Micrococcales; Micrococcaceae
Description: bacterial SSU rRNA
Rfam family: Bacterial small subunit ribosomal RNA
Source: RNAcentral
CGCUUGCGGGGGUGAUUAGUGGCGAACGGGUGAGUAAUACGUGAGUAACCUGCCCUUGACUCUGGGAUAAGCCUGGGAAACCGGGUCUAAUACUGGAUACUACUCCUCAUCGCAUGGUGGGGGGUGGAAAGGGUUCUACUGGUUUUGGAUGGGCUCACGGCCUAUCAGCUUGUUGGUGGGGUAAUGGCUCACCAAGGCGACGACGGGUAGCCGGCCUGAGAGGGUGACCGGCCACACUGGGACUGAGACACGGCCCAGACUCCUACGGGAGGCAGCAGUGGGGAAUAUUGCACAAUGGGCGGAAGCCUGAUGCAGCGACGCCGCGUGAGGGAUGACGGCCUUCGGGUUGUAAACCUCUUUCAGCAGGGAAGAAGCCACAAGUGACGGUACCUGCAGAAGAAGCGCCGGCUAACUACGUGCCAGCAGCCGCGGUAAUACGUAGGGCGCAAGCGUUGUCCGGAAUUAUUGGGCGUAAAGAGCUCGUAGGCGGUCUGUCGCGUCUGCUGUGAAAGCCCGGGGCUCAACCCCGGGUCUGCAGUGGGUACGGGCAGACUAGAGUGCAGUAGGGGAGACUGGAAUUCCUGGUGUAGCGGUGAAAUGCGCAGAUAUCAGGAGGAACACCGAUGGCGAAGGCAGGUCUCUGGGCUGUUACUGACGCUGAGGAGCGAAAGCAUGGGGAGCGAACAGGAUUAGAUACCCUGGUAGUCCAUGCCGUAAACGUUGGGCACUAGGUG